RNAcentral lists this ribosomal RNA (450 nucleotides) under uncultured bacterium. Its description in RNAcentral is "bacterial SSU rRNA". It matches the Rfam family "Bacterial small subunit ribosomal RNA", at positions 329 to 793 of the family's 1533-position model. The record is from RNAcentral.
AUCCAGACUCCUACGGGAGGCAGCAGUGGGGGAUAUUGGACAAUGGGGGAAACCCUGAUCCAGCGACGCCGCGUGAGUGAAGAAGUAUUUCGGUAUGUAAAGCUCUGUCAGCAGGGAAGAAAGAAAUGACGGUACCUGACCAAGAAGCCCCGGCUAACUACGUGCCAGCAGCCGCGGUAAUACGUAGGGGGCAAGCGUUAUCCGGAAUUACUGGGUGUAAAGGGAGCGUAGACGGUGAUGCAAGUCUGAAGUGAAAGGCGGGGGCCCAACCCCCGGACUGCUUUGGAAACUGUAUGGCUGGAGUGCAGGAGAGGUAAGUGGAAUUCCUAGUGUAGCGGUGAAAUGCGUAGAUAUUAGGAGGAACACCAGUGGCGAAGGCGGCUUACUGGACUGUAACUGACGUUGAGGCUCGAAAGCGUGGGGAGCAAACAGGAUUAGAUACCCGUGUAU